RNAcentral lists this ribosomal RNA (977 nucleotides) under Pertusaria pupillaris. RNAcentral's name for it is "eukaryotic LSU rRNA". It matches the Rfam family "Eukaryotic large subunit ribosomal RNA", at positions 141 to 1139 of the family's 3401-position model. Lineage: Eukaryota; Fungi; Ascomycota; Lecanoromycetes; Pertusariales; Pertusariaceae. The record is from RNAcentral.
AGUUGUAAUUUGUAGAGGGUGUUUCGGGUGCGGCACCGUCCUAAGUUCCUUGGAACAGGGCGUCAUAGAGGGUGAGAAUCCCGUACGUGGCCGGUCGCCAACCCCGUGUGAAACCCCUUCGACGAGUCGAGUUGUUUGGGAAUGCAGCUCAAAAUGGGUGGUAAAUUCCAUCUAAAGCUAAAUACCGGCCAGAGACCGAUAGCGCACAAGUAGAGUGAUCGAAAGAUGAAAAGCACUUUGAAAAGAGAGUCAAACAGUAUGUGAAAUUGUUGAAAGGGAAGCGCUGGCGACCAGACGUGCCCGCGGGCGAUCACCUGGCCUUUGGGCCGGCGCACUCGCCCGUGAUCAGGCCAGCAUCGGUUUUGGCGGUGGGACAAAGGCGUCCGGGAAUGUAGCUCCCCUCGGGGAGUGUUAUAGCCCGUUCCGCAAUGCCACCCGCCGGGACCGAGGACCGCGCUUCGGCUAGGAUGCUGGCGUAAUGGUCGUCAGCGACCCGUCUUGAAACACGGACCAAGGAGUCUAACAUCUAUGCGAGUGUUUGGGUGUUAAACCCAUGCGCGGAAUGAAAGUGAACGGAGGUGGGAGCUUUCGGGCGCACCAUCGACCGAUCCUGAUGUCUUCGGAUGGAUUUGAGUAGGAGCAUAGCUGUUGGGACCCGAAAGAUGGUGAACUAUACGUGACUAGGGUGAAGCCAGAGGAAACUCUGGUGGAGGCUCGCAGCGGUUCUGACGUGCAAAUCGAUCGUCAAAGUGGCGUAUAGGGCGAAAGACUAAUCGAACCAUCUAGUAGCUGGUUCUUGCCGAAGUUUCCCUCAGGAUAGCAGUAAUGAAUUCAGUUUUAUGAGGUAAAGCGAAUGAUUAGAGUCCUUGGGGGCGUAAUGCCCUUAAACUAUUCUCAAACUUUAAAUAUGUAAGAAGUCCUUGUUACUUAGUUGAACGUGGACAUUUGAAUGUACCAUUACUAGUGGGCCAUUUUUG